UGUGAUAAUAGCUGAAUAUCGUGACCUCAAAUUCAAACCUUCAACCUACUAUUGUGUGAAUGGUACUUUGACUAUUGACAUAUGGAGUGAACACCAAAUAAUAAAAUUCCAUUUAUAGUUAUUGGUCCCUGAUCCCAGGGAGGUCGCCUGUUCUCAGAACUAUUAUUGUUAUCUGUUAAUAAUCUUAUUGACAUAAUAAUAUUUAGUUUACACACAUUCCAAGAACCGACCACGCUCCUACCACCUGUCACAGCGCUUAUUACCCAGAUUCCCUUCAUCAAACAAAGCAAUGACGGGGCUAAAGGCUGGUUUGGUUAUAGGUUUGUUAAUGUUGUCUUUUCAACAAUUAUGAGUCUCAGCAUGAAUGCUAACCCUUUAUUUUAUAACUGCAGCAGCUUAUGGUAGCAUGGCAACAUUAAGAAGUCAGAGCAGGACGGAAGUCACACACAUUACUUCCUCUGCUACAAUGGACGUCCUAUCGAGUCAGUUCUAAGAAACUGGACAUAAGUUAAUAAUUUUGCACGUUUGAAUCACUUCUGUUGGUCAUUUUGUUUUUUAAGAGCUUGUUGGUUAAUAUCUGAAAAGGUUUGUCAUUAAGAGGAAUUUAUAUUAUUUGAUAUGUAUUAAAUCUAUAUUUAGUUUGAUGAGGUAAAAUGUAUCAGUAAACCCCUCUCGCUUCUAAGUGCCUUAAAAUCAAUUGUUCAAAAGUUGCUAAUCAAUGGCUAAAUUAGACUAAGAAAUGUAAUUGUGGCAACCACGUUAUGUGGUGUAGUUUGUUUACAGCUGGUUAGUAUCGUAAUUUCGUGUUGACAGACCUUAUUUAAUGCAGUCAUUUAAAAUCUCAUUAGGUUUUUGUCGAGGGAAUCAGACCACUGCUGAGUUCUGUGGUUUGUCAAUAAAAACACAUCAUCACUGAAGCACUUUAUGGAAUAAAUAAGUAUGGGAUUACCUAAAAUUCUUCAGUUUUCAUAUUACCAUGAUGUCAAGUUAUUUCUUAGCUUUGCAGGGAUGGAUAAUUGACCUUAAUAAGCCCAUGGUGAAUUAUGAUGUGUACCUAUGAGUUAAUAGUUAAUAGGUGUAAAAAAGCCUCCCAGUGAGCUCGAUUCAUUUUUAUCUUAUUUAACUUCUCCAAAAGAUUUGCAUUUCAAUCAUGAGAAUUCAGACGUGACAUAAUUUCAUAUAACUCUGUUCCAAAUAAAGCAGCCGUCAGUGCGAAGGGUAAAAAGGGUAAAAAGGAUGCAAUGACUUAAGUUGUCAAUCUGAAGUUUCACUGUGAAGAGCUGUGUUUUUUUAAUCGUUUUCUAGUGUGCUCUACUGUACGCCCCCUAUUGAUUCCGGUUUCAGUCAUUACUAGGUGACUAGUGAACCUCAGCAGGGCUGCCUGCUUCCCCCUGAGAGUUCAUCAACACUACAGCCCAGAGCAUAUAAUCUUUGUUAUGUGGUCAAUUUAGCAGUUGGCUGAGCACAGCUUGAAGAGAGAAGCUACAACAAAACCUUUCUGCAAGCUCGUAGCCCAUCAACAUGCAACAAUAGCACUUCUUUAGGAAAUAACAAUAACAAUUCCUAUGACAUAAGAAGUAACACAACAUUUUUUUUGAUUUAAUCUAGAAGCAUAAUAGUUUCUUUUCUAUUCAUUGUGUUAAUUGUUCGCUCCCUUUGCUAGCAACCUUCCCCUCAGCACUCUCUGUUUAGGUGAGUCAAUUAGCCGGAAUCUAUCAAGCCGGGUUCUGCUCCACUCCCUCUCUCACCCCCUCGCAUCUCUGCUGUAUCUCUUUUUAAUUCAUUUUUAAUUCCCGUGAUAGACAGUGAACCCAAACCCACUGAUCUGGAGAAGGUUGAUGAAGUUGUCGGGCGCGUGGUAGGAGCGUGUUUCAUUAUUAGCAGUGUAAAAACAAAAUUAUUGACAUCGAUAUAAUUAUUAUUUUCAAUACGAAGAUAAUAAUAACAGAACACCACCCUGUGACCAGUGGACAAUAACCAAACUAUAAAUUCAAUUUGUGUUUCUCAGAUUUGAAUUUGAGCACAGGUUUUAUAUACAUUAUCACAAUACACAUGCACAGUUCAAGUAAUAAAAACUGCUCCUUAAAGUUUAUUAACUUUUAACAAUAUUAUUACAUGUGACCUCGUUAGCUCCCAUCUUUGUUCUAACAGCGAGGUUGACCUUUCUCUAGUGAGAGUCGGCACCGAACUGUUUUAGGUUUCAAAAGAACCACAUAAAUUGGUUUAUUGCAUCAAGGCUUUUUGACUUUAACAGGAAUCUCUAUUUCAACAAAUCAAAAACAAAAGGCUUGAAAUUAUGACCUUUGAAUCGUUAGGGUUGUUUUUAUAAUAACUCAAAACCAACACACUAACAUAAGAGAAGUAGCAGAAAGCUAACACAAGAGGAAAGUUAAUAUACCAACAAAGAACCAACAGAAGUAGAAGAAACCUUCCUCCCAGAGUUUAAAAGUGUAUCAACAGUGAGUGCAUCUAUGUUUUUACAUGUCUCUAUUUCCCAGUAAAGUUAACAAGCUGUGGUCACAGUUUGAAGCGUAGUCCGUUGGAUGCUCGUCGUAGAAAACCCAUUUCAAAGAAUCUGAAUGAGACUGCCAUGUAAAUGAAAGAAUAAAGAACUUGAUCUAUUACUUGAGUUAUAUGUUGGCAUAAGGAGCCCUCAUAUAUUCUACUCAAGCAUGUGUAACAAUACCGCAGUAUCUAUGAACAGCGUGUCUGUGGCAUCGCUCCCGUGGGAAAUAGCAAGUAGCGCUCUGUGGGACAACCUGGUGCCACAGAAAUACUUAAAAUGACCACAACAAACAUACAGCAUGGUGGCCUUUUUUAGCAGACACAGCUAUUCAAGGGUUAACAGUUUAAUGAUGCAAUUGUGCCAAUGGUGAAAAGAAGUAAUAAUCAUUUGACCAAGAUUAAAGUUUGUCUUACAGACAGUUUUACUCUGUGUUGGUUGUUAAAGAAGCUAAUUAAAACCCUCAUGAAAGCCUCCCCUCGGGAGCCAGAAAGAUUAAAUACCCUCAUGUGUCUUCUCAUUCCAGCUGCACAGCACAACAGAAAUGGAGCAACGCUUUCACAGCAUGCAUAGUGUGCAAUGGGUUUGAAGCGAUUCAGCUGGGAUUAUUUUCAGAUGCUGUAUUAAAUAAUGUAUUAAUCUUGAUGGGGGAGUUACCAUUAUGAUGUGUAAUGAUAAUGCAGCUGGAGAUGUAUAAAUAUAGCUUCAGUUUCUUUACCAGGUCUCCUAUUCAAUACAGUUGAGGUUUAGUGUGGCGAUUAAUUGCUUGUCAGAUUUUUUUGUUUAAAAUUGUUCAUAUGGUGUAGUGAAACCUUUGUUAAUCCCUUUAUGUCUUGUUUCAAACCAUAUUUGUGUGUAUAUUACAUCAUAUUACAUGUCAUUCAGCUGACGCUUUUAUCCAAAGGGACGUACAUUAAGUGCAUUCAACCAUAGGGAUACAAACUCAGAAGAGCAAGAAACAAGAAAGUGCAAUUUUGUCAAAUAAGCCAAUUUACAAUGUGAGGGUCUCAGGACAGAGGAUCUCGCAUGUGUACAGACUGUAAAGCCUUCUGAGCCAAAUUUGUAAUUUGUGAUUUUGGGCUAUACAAAAUAAAAUGAAUUGAAUUCAAUAUAUACAUUAUCUUCUUAGACCAUGGCGACUGUGUUUAUUCUCCAAAUCCCCUUUUAUGGGUAUGCGUGUUAUACUGUCAUACUGUGAAUACUGUGAAUUGAUAGUCCGUCAGUCGAUAUAUUGUCAUUGUGGGGCGCACAUCUGUGUCUUCGGGUCCCUGCUCUUUGACACGUGGCCUGAGCCCCCCAGCAGAGCCCCUGUUGCUGAGGGGAAACCAGCUGCACACUCAUCCAAUCCUCCUGCCGGUCCUCCCACCAAUGGAACAGCCCGGCGCCACCGAUGCACCCCUGCCAUCGGAGAACAUUUGGUACAUUCCAUCGGUGGUGCUCGAGCUGGUUUAUUCACCGAGUCAGUAGUAACACCGCAGUUAGCCAAACGGGAGAUUGAGCGCGCGCACACACACAUACAUACACACACUCUCACACACACUCAGCAGUGAGGAAGAGAGUUGCAGAAAGAAAGAAGCAAAGACAUCCUCAGCUCGCCCAAGAGUGUCAGUUUCCUCGUUGUUUGGAGAUCCUUGAUAUGACCCUCUUUAGCCCGAGAUGUGAGUAUUUAUCAGUGUGUGUGUGUGUGUGCGCGUGUGUGCGCGCGCGCGUUUAUGCAUGCAUUGGUGGAUGUUUGCAUGCAGCACUGUGUGUCGGAAAGACAAUGUUGCCACUGUGCUUCUCAUUGUUUGUCUUGCCUUCAUAGAAUCCGCCUGCUAGCCGCUCUGAAUCCUGGCUCAUUUACACUUUCCCCCCCCGGAGCAGUUUGUCCUUACCCACACGUUGUGACCCAGUCAGCUGGUGCAUUUGAGAAGGAUCGGUGGAAUGUUUCAGUUAUGAUGUAAACAUAGUGAUGCAUGAAGAGGUGUUUCUGACAACAUUAAAACGGUGUAUUUACAGACAUUCAAAUCAACCUCUCGCAAGCCUCCCAUUGGCAAGGUCAGCAUUUGCUCCCCGGGCAUGGAAGCUCGUGAAACAGAAUUAACUUAUGUCUGGUGAUGUACUCAAGCAUGCCCCCCCCCCCCCCCACACUCCUUCCCCCACAGCUGUUGAAUUUGAAUUAUGCAUCUUUUUUUCCUAAAAUGAUCUGAGCUGUAACAUCUUCCAUACCGGGGAAACAGUACUUUUCCCACAAAGCUGCAUUUCUUUUAAGUCUCAAGUAAAGUGUGUACGCAUAUAUAAUAGAAGAUGAAAGCCUACAGUGAAAGGGAAACUCAUCCCAGGCUGCCUCCCCGUGGUUUGCAUAAUGUGGGAUGUUUGAGAAGAGUCUGCAACUCAGAUCAUAUACAGUCACUCUUCACUCUUUUUUUUGCUGUCAAAAGAGACACUUUUCUGGUUCACACCAACAACUCUGUUCUCAACAUGCCAUCUAUUCAUAUCAACCUUUCAUAUUUAUUUACUUAUUCAGUUAUUCAUAUGUGCAGUAUGCUCCAAGUUCUAUGCUGACAGUUGCGAUUACUAACUUUGCAUUUGCCGCUUUGCUCACAGUUUAGUUCUAGUAUGUGACAUGGAGAGGAUGCAGCACGACCAAAAGAAGCCUCCACGCUGAGCUUUUACGUCCCUUAUUUUACAAACUACCGUUUCUUCAUAUUUUGGCUGGCAGGAUGGGCUGAUUAAUUAACUUUGAGGAAAAAGAGGACUUAAGUGCUAUGAGCGCAUUCAGGUGAAAACCAGCAGAAAGAAAAUGUUCAAUCAAUCUGAAAUUAUAGCAGUUAGAAUGUGUGUCAACAUGCAUACUAUUUUCAAAAAAGAAAAGUUUAGGGCAAAAUAAAACGGGAACUACAUGUCAUUUUUAAGAAUGGAACAAAUAUUUAUACAUAUAUUUAUGUUGCUUUAUUGUAAAUAGUGUUUUAUAUUGACAACUUUGUUCUGCGCCAAGAUGAUCAAAAGGUUAAACGUUUGAGUGUCUUUACCAGUUAGAUUGAAAAUCCCUUGGCUCAUAGAGGGACAUGUACAAUACAAAAAAAUUUAAUAAUUAAUUAAUAAUUAAAUGACGUUGUUUCUUGAAUCUGCCAAAGCCCAUUAAAGUAAAAUAAUUAUGGAUUCCCAGUUUAGAUAAUUGUUGCAAAAGCCUUUAUUCAAAAUGGCUUCAUUUAGUCUUUUAUGAUAGAAUGUGUGAACAGUACAAAACAUUGUUUUUCUUCUUACACUGAAAUACUACUGAAAAUGUUCAGCAGUCAGCGGGUCGACCACUUGUCAGGUUGACCUUUUGUGCUCAAAAGUCAAUUGGGUGAUUAAGAGAUCAACUAAAAAAUACAUAAACAUUUAAGGGACGUGGUGCAACCCAUUGCAGGACAAUUUGUAGAAUCAGGAAGAAAGAAAAUGAUAGAAGACAGAAGAUUGAGUGUUUGAUUGAAAUUAAUUAUGGGAUUAUCCCAUCCUCCACAAAUCAGUGGUCUUCAAAGUGCACAGAUUAAUAGACGGCUCAGUACUAAAUUACAUCUUCCUAUGCGCAAUACUGUGUUAACAAUUUUCUCAGAGUGUGUUUGUGAGUGUCAGGUUUCAAGGAAGUUUGUAGUGGGGGAUUUAUUACUGGCAAGACUGAAAUUCUCGGUGAAGCAGCAGUAGUAGUGGAAGUGUGUGUGCGUUUGUGUGUGUGUGUGUGCGUGCGUACAUUUCCACAGAAAAAUGACUUUACUUGCCAAAAAAAGCCUGUGAACAUAAAAUGAAAAAAACAGUUCCUCCUAUUCGUGUGUUUUAGCGGAGUCCUUGACUGUGGUGAUGUUUUGAUGAUGCUCUUGAGUGUUAAGGUGGCAUACAUGAAUCACCUAAAGCUAAUAGGUAGUGAUUAAAAAUAUAAUUACUAGUUUACCCUGAUAGGUGAGUUGUCUCAUCAGUGGGUGCAGGGAGGUUGAAAGCACAGGUUCCGACAGAGCAGCUUUCCUGGAGCUCGUAGAGAAUCCAAGGACACGUCAGCAGUGUGGAUGCUGACAGACUGGGGUCUUCAAAUGCCUCCUCUAGAGAUGCAGAAUAGUUUAGAAUAAAACAAAAAAAAGCCUUUCCGCGCUGUGGUGUUUUUUGUUUCCAGGCUAGAUGCAGAUGCAGCUGCUUUUCAGCUCCUCGUUGGCUGACCAUGGUUGACCUUGAUGCCCCCUCUGGUGCCCUUUGCUUCCCAUUAUACCGUGUUUGUUUCAGUAUAAUCUACCUCUACUGGACUCGGUUGGGCUUCUUCCUCAUCUGUGAUGUGAAUACUGACUGCCCAUAGAAUGUUAGACAUGCCGCCCAUGAUGAUGACACGAAUACCAUACAAACAAUCUUGUCAUGUGUAGUUUUCAAUAAUAGUAUUUGAUGCAUCCCAAUGUCCGUUUUGGCAAAAUGUACCAAUGCAAUAACAAGAUACAUAAAAAUACAUCUCACUAAUAACAAAAAGUGGCAUGGAUAAUAUAUCAUUUCUAUUGUGUGCAUGUUGCCAAUAUUCAAACUUAGAACAUCCAUAAAACAAAACAGAAAGUCAAGAUCAAAUCCACAAAAAUGUGGAGGAGCUGUGAAGCGCACACACACACACGCGUGUGCAGAAGAAGCUAAAUGUGACACGUAGGCCUUUGUUUACCAAAUAACACGCUGAUUACCUCCCAAGGUUUUACCCGUACUUUGACACGACUGUGCUCAGCAGCCUCCUCCAGUCUUCCUGUUAUAAUGGCUUCUUCAUGCAGUCAAUCAUGCAGUCGUCAUGUUGCUCAGCAAACACAUUAUAAAACUCUAAACUGUGUUUCCUUCUGCCACACAAUUACGUCAACCCAAUCGAUGCAGAUCAGGAACUGUCCAGUAUGUCUUUAAAUAUUCGUUAUUUAUUUUUUUGUCAUGGUGAAAAUAUCAAACUCGCAGAACAAGAAUGGCAGGAAGUGUGAUGGAAAUGUCAGUAAUAUUUGUACAACAUAAUUUCACUUGUGGGAAAAUCAUUUUCUAGUUUCAUGUCAACUUUCUAAAAUCUAAAACGUUCUGUUAAUAACAUAGUUCAUAUUAUAUCAUAUUUUUCACAGAUCCUUUGAAAUGCCAGAAUCAUUUUCAUAUUUUAAAUAUGUGUUUAAUUUGGGUCUGCAUCCCUAAAAUCAACAAUGCAGUCACAGCAGUAUUGUGCAUGCUCGCUCUGCUCAGUAAGAGUUAAGGUGUCCACAGUAAGGGCCUGUUCCUCACCAGCGGAGUUGGCUGCAGAGAAGCAGGUCACUGUUUGACUAAAAUUUGUCAGGAAAUGGUCUCUGCUGCGGGAGGUAAAGGCACAUACACGUGUCAAAAUUCACACAUUCAAACCCAUACUUUAUUAAUUGUAGCUUGCAGCCAUUUGACAGUCCCACUGUGUGAGUGUAUGUGCAGCUGGCCCAGUCACACUCCAUUCACCCCCCCAUCUGUCCGCGUCAGACCGGCCCAGUCUCCUCCUCUCAUUACUCCUUCACUUGCUUCCCUCUUUUUUUACACUCACCUUUGGAAAGUCACUGGUGAGCCCCGACCAACCUGAGCAGUGAGCUGUUGGCAUAUCCUGUAAUCAAGAUGGCUCGUGGUUAAACGGCCCAUUGGAACAUGUCUGCAGAGCUGUUUGCAGGAGAGAUGUAAGAAGACAGAGAGAGAUGGGCUUCGGCUUUUGAGGCUGAAGUCUAAAGCUGCACCCGAUGUCUGAUGUAGGCUUGCAGGCGGGAGACAAACAUGGAGGUGGCUUAGAGUGGCAGAAGCAAUCAACGGAGAGUGGUGGUGUAUGGAUGCAUUUGAAAAACAACGCUGUUGGUCUUAGCCAGCCCUUUAGUCAUUAUCAUGUCAAAUGAUGACAGCAAGUGGGGUUAAUUUUGCUCCAAUAAAGAGUAAACUAGGGUGUAGGAUAAACAUGACCAGACAACGUAGGGCGUUUUCUGGUUGGAUAACCACUCGAACAGUCCUCCUUGUGCUUUGCCCCUGCUGUCUUGUGUUAUUUUCAUGCUCUUUGCUCAAUCAGUACAAGGUUAAUUGGUUUCACUUCCAUGCAGACAUGAGCAUGAGUGGAGAGUUGAAGUCCAGCCGCUCCAGGGCAGCGAGUAAGAGGGCCAGCAACACCAUUUAUGGGUGAGUAUUAAAAACCCAAAACGCACAGACACACACUCCUGUCCUCACACACUAAGAUAAUCAUGCAUUCGCUUAUUUGCUGCAACCUUUUAUCGGAAACUCAAUGGCUGCACCCCAGUGUUGCAAUCAAUGCCGCAUUAUUUGUUGUUGGCUUCAUACCAACUGUGCAUGCAAGCUGCUAUUGAUUUUAGCCGGAGGGGCUGUCUCCAUCCCUCAACGUUUUAAUCUCUCUGUUGAUGCAGUGCACACAUAUGACUCGAGCUGAUUACUGUUUAUUGCUGGUGGUUCAAUACAGUGCCGUGGUGCUACACUAACAUGAACUGGUUGUUUAGAUAGCUGUCAAAUAGAAUGGAGGGCAGUGGGAGAGACGGCAGUGUGUCGAAUUAAGGUAAUAAUAGUUUUGAAUUCUCUUUUUACUUUUAUUCUAAAAAUUGCUUUCAAUCUCAUUGCUUUCAGUACUCUUACCUCGAAUUAUCUUCUUGCACUGCUUCUCAGUACGCCUUUAUUUCUUCUAAUGAGAAGAACCCAUAGAAAUGACUUGAGAGUUCUCUUACCCCACUGACUGACAAUGCAUUUUCUCCUAUAUGUCCACAGGAUGUCUACACAGUGUCAUCCUUCAUAUGCUAAUUGAAAUGGAAAAAAAGGCCUGUAGAAAAUGUCAAAUAUUUAGAAAAAUAAAAAGGAGACAAAAUGUAAUGUAUAAAGUUAUUAUUGGGUCCAUAUAAACAUAUUUACCUCCAAAUGUUAAAGUUAUGUUAUAUUGACAGGAGACAUAAUGAAUAAUAUUAAAAUAAUUUGCUGGACAUCCACCAAAGGACACCAUAAUGCAAAAUAGGUUUGAAUUACAAAGAAGAGGAAAUUAAUAUUAAUUAAGAGAUGUAAUAAUAUUGAGGCCAACUUGUUUGUCCCCAGCCAAAUCAGCAAAUCUCUUUAUCAUUCUGCAUAACUGGGGCGUUUGUUUCCAGCUCUACUAUAAACACUGAUAUUUUUUUAAUAUUGCCAGCUCCUUUUCCCGUCCCUGUGCUGGUUCCAUCAUAGCAUAUCACAGUAUGUAGAUUCAUACAUAUUGCAGUGUGGGACAUUAUUUCCGGCGGCAUGUCCUUUAAAACCGCUCAUCUCUGCUUGCGCUCCCUCCUCCACUGCCUUAAACCCGCAAACGCUAUUUGCCUUCCAACAUGUAGUUAUUCAACAUCGUGCGGCCAUGCAUUAAUGAGGUUAGUCACACACACACACACACACACACACACACACACACACACACACACACACUAUGACUAACCUCAGAUGGAACACACCUGAGGUAGCAGCACUGAUACAGCCUGAAAUGACCGAGACUUAAAAUUGUCUCAGGUUUACGGACACAUCCAGCCGGCUAAACCAGAGAACCUGUCCAGCCUUUGCCCACAUUAAAGAACAAAAAGUCCACAGCCACGUUUCCGGUGCCCCCAUUUUGAUCGCCACUGCACACGUGUGAGCUUCGUGACAGCUUUUGGGCCUCAUGGAGGAAAAGUUCCAUUGUGACCAGAGUCAUUUUAGUUUAUCCUCUCUACACCUACACAUUGGUUGAGCUAUUUCAAUCAGGACAAAAGCAAACAGUCACUCCCAUCUCUGGAGCUGUGACGUUAGCAUGGCUAAAAACAUUCAUGUGAAACGUAAAACGGACUCUAAUGUUUUUACUUUCAAUUCCAUUUGAAGUCAUUACCUUAAUGGUGUUUUGAAUUCCCUUCUACGAACGCCACACCAUAGACUUUGAGUUCUAGAAACUCUGAAAUUAAAUGAUAACACAAGCCAAUCUACAUCGUUUUCCAGAAACUAAAUUACAGCUGAGGUCACAAUUUAAAUUAUUGCGACAUAGCCACCAAAAGUAUCUUAGUCCAGGCUCCAGUAACCCUGCUCUGUAUGUCUGGCAGCAGUGUGCCCCGUCUCCUCCCCGGUGCCACUGUUCUCACAGAGCCGGCCAACAAACACGACUGCCUGUGGCCUAGAUUACUUUGCGAACAAACUUUCCAGCCCGCGGAAGAUGCAGAAGCAAUGUAAUCUGCUUCGGAACACCAUCUGUGUUGCCAGAAUUUCUUUCUCUUUAUUGCUGUAAAGUAGCUCAAAGUCAACAGUUAAACUGAAGAAAAGCUUCUCACUUUACACGUCUUCAUUAAGUUAAAGUCAGUCCUUGCCUCAUGAUAACUGGCACAUUUUUUUCCCACUAUGCAAAGUGACAGAGUCUCCCAUAUCUUUCCCUCUGGGACAUUUUCUCCCUGACAGCUUACAGUUUUGUCAUCACUUAUUGUCUUUGUCACAGUUCCUCUCUAGCCUGGCGAGUCCCAGCUGUGAAAGGAGGGAUGGGGUAGAGAGAGCAGCAAGCAUUUCACAUCCAGAUGUUGCUGCUGCAGCCGUGGCCUCUGUGCGCUCCAGUGCACCACUACAAAAGCUCACUGUAUUGUGUGGCCCCUAUAGGGAGGCUCAGGUGCCAGAAAGAAGAAGCCAGAGGUGUCAUGUGCCGUGUGUGUAUUUAUAUGAUGACUUAGAUAGCUUUAUGGGUUAAACACCAUGAAAGACUGCUGAUGGUUUUUAAUAAAUGUCUGUGGUGAUGAGUUCCUGUUGUACGUACAUCUCCUUCAGGCAAUUCCUCAGAUACUUCUUUAAAUGCGGCCUAAAGCAGUGGUCCCUAACAACCGGGCCACUUGGUUCAGGGCUGCAGACGAAGAAGAAAAUCACAAUUACAUGCGCUUUUCCCUUUUUUAGUCGUGCGCAGCAAUUACUAACCCCCCCGCCCGCCUCCCGGUCCGCAGCGACCGUACGCCUGUUUAUAAGCCACACCGCCAUGAGCGGUUGGGAAAAUAUUUUCUAACAGAAAACCGGUCCGUGAAGCGAAAAAGGUUGAGGACCCGUGGCCUGGAGGAGGAACUGAUUACAUUUUGUGGAUGUCUUUUGUUUAAACCUUAGACAUUGAUCAUUUGCAUGUGGCUGUGAGGUCUGUGUGGAGAUGUCAGGUCUGUGUUCAGAUCAUUACUGUGCUCCUUUUUUUGUCUGCUCCAUUUCACAUCUGAUUGGAGAGCGUGCUGGCCUGAACACAUAUCGGCAGAGCGUACUGACCAUCUGCGCUCUGGUAUUUCUGUCUGCUUCCUCCACGUGCUUUGGUCUUUUAGUAUUCUCUCAUCUGUUUUAAUUGCCAUCAGGGCUGGUCAUAGAUGACUUUAGGUCAGGAUGGAAACAAUGCCGCAAUGCCUCAAACACACAGGGGCAGGAGCCGGUGGAGGCAGCAGGAUAUGAAGUCUGAAGUUGCCGUGAGCAGUGGGGUAUGAUGUCUAUUCCGUUUGAUACAGAGAGUGACAAAACCCAAAGGCUAAUUUGAUGGCAGAUAUUAAAAAGAUGGACAAUAAGGCGACAGGAAAUGAGCCAUAAGGGGGCUCCAGCAAAUAACAAUACAAUUUUUGGUUAAUUACAACUUUGCCAAUCAUUGUUAUAGGGUAUCAUUGUUCCUCCAUGUUUAUUGCUAUUGCUCAUGGGGCAAGAGGAACAAACUAAAUUUCAUGAAAAUUGGGCCUGCAGUCUUUCAAAAACCCAGCUGACAAACAAACCGGCAAACCUAACUAAAAACAUAACCUCUGUGGAGGCAAUAAAAUGUUGUCAAUAAUCCUGAAUCAUUCUUUAAAACCUUUUCAGAAGCAUUGUGGCAGUAAUGACAAUGGAACCGUAAAGCUGCAUAUUGCAUAUGCAACACUUAUUUUGUCAGAUUUCUUAUGUGUGGCUCGCCUGGGGCUCAGCUGGCUGACAUCUGUCAAACCACCAGAAGCAGUGAAAACGCAAAGGGCAAAUGACGGCAAUCAGCAGUUAGGAAAGCAAUGUUGAAAUUCACCCGUUUUUGAUGCGCCAACAUUUCUUUGCUGGACUGUGACAUUAUUCCCAUUGUCACAACACAGCAGCUGGCUGCCAGCUGUUAUGACACCCACCCACAGCUAAAUCUGUAUGCAUGACAUCCUGAUUAUCUCUUUAAAACAUGACUGUAAUAGAUUUUAUUUUUAAUAAAAGGGGUCGGGUGCAUUAUGUGCAGGGAAACAUACUGGGAGAUAAAAAGCCUCCUGCAGGCCACCCAAUUGAUUUCCUCACAGGACAUAAGCAGAUGCCCUGUUUGCUUACUUCACAAGAAUUUAUUGCAGCUAUUAUUUUUUUAAAGUUGAUCAACCAAUGAAGCGAAUUAAGGCAAAACACGCACAGUUCUUUCCUUUGUGCUCUCGUUGUGAGAAUAUUUUAUAUUGAAUAGAAGUCUAUGAAAACAAUUGGCCUGUUUCUCACUUGAUGGGUUUGUGAUGUGAUGAUGUGUUUUCAUCUUACAACUUUAACCUUUUCAUAUUGUGUUUUCAGUUUAACUCCCCCGUCAUGUUGCUUCAAUCAGACAGCGCAUUCAAAUAGCAGUUAACGAACCAAUAGGUGACGUAGCAGUGAUAUGGUUGGAAAAAUACUUUAUAUGUAGUUUAUUUAAGGAUACUUAACCCUUUCACACCAUCCACAGUGAGCAAGUGAUUAGCAACAACUAGCAACAACGCGUUUCAUUAAUGCAAUAUUAUGCUUCCGCUGUGGCAAAAAUUCACUAAAAGAAAAUUCACUAAAGCAACCAUACGUUCUCCUUCCACUUCAGCAUUUAAAAUGUCACUGCCAUUCUUUUUUAUGUCCAGCUUUCCAUCUUUUUUUUGUCGCCUUUCUUUCUUUCUGCAUGGUUGGAUGCACAGACAAUUUGGUGCCUGUAAUCCAUUCCUUGGUUGGGCGACGAGGGGGUACUGUAGGUAAAGGUCAGUGCAGUCAGAGGUGGAUGUGCUGCUGAGGAAAAGGUCACUCCGUGCAGAGAAGGGAGGAGAGUGCAUCUUCCUGUUUCAAGGCCACUGCCACAUCAUUUUUGAAGGAGCAUAAAACAACUAAUGAUGGGAGGCCGUUGAAGCGAGGAGCAAGGGAGUGAUAUGGAGGCUGUAGACCUGAUGCUCUGUGGAGGAAUGCCAGGCGUUGAUGGAAGAAAUGAUCGCGUAACUGAGGAAAUUCAACAAAAUGAAUCUAUGUUGGUGUGUUGGUUUAAAUGCAUGUAUUUCUUUAGCUGUGUUACAAACCCGGAUGAGUUAUCGCACCUGUCCUGCAGGCUUAUCAGUCUACAGGGGUCGGUCCCCCUGCUAAUGAAGUCAUUUCUACCACUGCUGCCUUUUCGACGGUUGGAGGACAGAAGGGAAGCUGGUCAGAGAGGUAGAGAAGGAAGCAUGAAUAAGGACUGAUGGAAAAAACAUGCAGGGUGUAAUUCAGAGAAACAACAGAACAGUGCCAAACAGCUGAAGGAGAGUGGAAGAGAUGGAAGAGAAACAUUCAGAGAGAGAAAUAAAAACAGUUAGCGAGAGUGAGGGGUGAAGAAAGCAAAGAAGGGGAAGCAAGUGAGCACUGCGCUGCGUGUCAUUGGCCCCCUGGCGUGAACAAUCCAUCUCAAAUUGAUCUUCCAGCUCGGCCCAGCAGGGCAUUCUGAAUCAAUCUCAAAUUGAUCUCAGUGCCAGAGGUCGGAAAAACUAGCAGUAGAGCUUAUCAGAAAUAUGGUGGUGCUGGGAGGAUCUGACAGGGAAACUUAUCACACUGCACAACAGGAAAUGGGCUCUGAGCCCCCAGGGCAGCAUGAGGACGAGCCUUCUCCCUGUACACACACACAAACACACACACACAAUCACACUUACCAGCACACACCGAUUCAAUGUCUGACUUAACACAGCCAUUCGCUGACACGUGCUCCCCAGGUUCAGCACAGUACGGAGAGUGUGUACUGUGCAUAGACACAUGAACCAACACACUCACACAAGCCAUCUCUCUGUCGCAAGAUCAUAAACACCUGCAGGCUACAUGAUGAAAAAAAGCCCUUGUCAGAGCCCAAUGUGUCAAUAUAAUGUAAGUUAAGACAGGUGAGAUUCAAGGCCUGUAGCCCACAAAAGGCUUAUAAAGCUUUUAAUGUGGCCUCAGCAAGACUGUGUGAAAGGCCAGAGGAAGGACAAUCAAUACCAGCGUGCAUUUAGACUGUCAGUGAGCUUAGAACAACCUGUCCCACCAGGCCCUCUGAAAAAUAAAGCCAUAAAAACAAUUGACUUUCACCACAUAGUAUCUCUGGAAAUACUCUGGUAAUCCAGUCCAGGAGCAUUCAGGUGCCUGCCGCAGUGUCCUCAGCACAUCGAAUGGCUGCUUAUGUUUGGUAACUUUUAUUACUGUUUUCAUUGUUCUGUUUUCAAAGGGGUUGUUGAAUACUUUUUCAUGCUGCUUGCAUCACCAGAUGGAAGCUGUCAGGAACUUUACAGAGCAAGAAUAGAACAAAAAAGAAAACUCAAUAUAAUCCUAUUGCCUGGACACAGUAAAUUCCAUAAUACGUCAACCAUGCAGACACUUGAGGUCAAAACAUUUGGCUGAUACUUUAUUGAUAUGUCAAAAAGUAUCUAAAAAAACUGAACAUUUUGAUUUAUUCCUUUUAUUUAACACAGAAUCCUCUUUUGUACCUCUUUUGAGGGGACAGAAAAUGACUUAAUCCUUACGGCCUCCAUUUGGCACGUCUCACAGUGUCUUGGUCACUAAAUUUUGGCAAAAUAAGUUGAAUGAAAGAGCAAUGGGGGCUCUUAGGAAAUACUUAUGUUGCUUAAUGGGCAGUGCUGUGCUCUGGUAAAGUAAGAGAUGCGGGCAAUGAGCGACUAAGGGAGUUCAGUGAAAACGUGUGAGAUGGGGAGCAGUGUCUUUGUCAGCUGUUGGGAGCAGGAGAGCCUUUUCUUGUCCUGCACUGUAGAAGCGCUGUGUCAGCACAGAAGGGUAAUGGGGGUUAGCAGAGUGAGUGAGUAUAUAAAAAAGUAUGAAUUUGUGAGUACAAGUGGUUGCAUCUCCCAAGAGGUACAACAGAACAUCAGUGGCCCUCAGGCUACUAAUAUAUAUAUGCAUGCACACAAUAUUAAAAAAAAAACCCGUUUCUUCCAGGAUGUUUGGAACAAGAAACAUCCGACAAGACAAUACAAAGACGGAUUUAAAGACAUAAUAACAUCUUGUUGUGGCCAUCUCUUUCUCCGCCACAUUACCAGAUGCACAAGCACACAUUUGUUACUGUACUCUCUUUUACCUGUGAUGUCCUUCAAACACCACCGUAUUACAUUAUCUAGUUGUUUUAAACAAAAUCCUGGACCUUCAUUAGUUGAUUGAAUUCUAGCAGCUUAGCACUGUGAUGCCAUCUUGGGACACACUGGUACCGGAGCCAUUGGUCACUCAUGAGUACUGUGUGUGUAUGUGUGUGUAUAUAUAUAUAUAUAUAUAUAUAUAUAUUUGGAUCAGACUGUGUAUAUAUGUACAGUAUAUGUUAGAAAAUGCAAUGAAAAUAACUAUUAUUGUCAGUAAUGUGUGGAUCUAUUAGGUGUGCUGCGUUGUUUCUGUCGAGUUCUGCUUCACUAUAGGAUCUCCUUAAACCUCUGCUAAUGGCUCAAUGUUACAAACAUGUGCAAUUUCUUACACAUCCCUGUUUCUUCACUUUUGAUUACUCUGCUUUUUCAAUAUCUAUCUUGACAGAUGUGAAGCAGAUUCAGGGUGGUUGUUGACUUAAUGUCAGCUGAGGUUUAAGCGUUUUCCAGUGAGAAUUGCAGACUGCAGUCUGAGGUUGAUUCUGUAAAUGUCACUCAUGUAGAUCACCGUUAAAAUGUCAGAAAGCGCUUCUGGGGCCCUUUCUGAAUGGCAGCUUCUUAUUUGUCCUACAUCUCCCCUAAAUAUUCAGAUCCCUCUCUUUUUGUCCAAAGAGAUAACUGUAUUUGUUUGCUUAGUGGCUGGAUACCUAGAGACAGCUACUCAAACACACACACACGCAGAGCUUUGCUAUUUAGCUUCCUUUACUUUCCUUUUGGUAGUGAGCGCACAAGUUAAUUUGCGCUCUGUGUAAUCGUACUGCUUUGCCCUUCAAGGCGUUGCGUUGAAGUGACUUUUAGCUUUUAAUUCUCCGAUAAUUUCGUGACAGCAGCAUAGUUCAGGACAUGAAAACGAUGCAGGGGCUUGACAGAGUUGAAAAGACUGAAAGGAUUAACUACUUCCGGCAGCCUCGGGUAACCUUUUUAACUUUGCGCUCUAAGUCGGCGCCGAUGAGGGGUAGUCGCCCUUGUUAUAGGAGGUGUCUAGAUAUCUGUGUUCCUCGAGCUCUUUACACUUAAUGAGUGCAUGAGAGGGCGCUCUGUGAGUGGCCCCCGGAUGUCACUUGUCACCUUACUGCUGUGUAAUGCUGCUAAUAAGCACUAAAUAACCUGAAGUCGGAAAUUCCAAAUGACUGCUCCCACCGAGCCUCUGAGCUUUUGAUGAACGACAGCGAGCAGAAAGCAGUUGGCCCUCCUGGAGAGAAGCCACGCAUAUCUGUUCAUGCACUUUACACCAACAGGCAGAUGACAAAUAGCUUUCACUCCCUCUUGAACCGCAACAACAAAACAACUUUUCAAAGUUAGUAAAAAAUGAGGAAUACAGUACAAUACUGGAACAGGAAUCACCGCAGCAUAUAAACAGACACAGAUUAUACUCUUAUCUUAUUUUUAAACUUGCUUUGUAUUCCUCUAUUCAAGACUGGUUCAUAUGAAGUGUUUUCAUGGUGACUACAGUAUUUAUUUAUUCAUCUCCCAUCCUGCAGGAGUGCUCAAUGAGUAAUUAAUAUAAAAGUGCUUUAGGCCUUCACAAUAAACACCUGUGAAACUAUCUGAUUUGAAAGGUGGAUUAUGUUAAUCUGUAGUUGAGACAGUCCAGGGUCGGUACAUUGAGUCCCUCCCCUGCAUACAGUAUCUGCAACAUCGCUGUGUUAUCGCGUUCCUGUUAUGUUUCUUUCAUGGGUUUCAGUGUGGCAGAGCUUCUGUUCAGUGUUUUGAACCUAUUCAGUUACUGUGAGAUCAAAGCCCGGUGGCAAAUGAUGAAAUUAUGGUUUAAUGGUUACGGACUGUGAGACAGCAUCUUUAACCCUGAUAGAAAAACAUUUAAAAAAUGCUGUUUCUUAUGACUCGGGGAGUUAAUCAUGAGACGCAUCUCUGAAUUCUUUGGCUAAUCAAACAGUAACCAGACCAUGCUUCACCCCGGCUCCUCCCUUCCACGGCUGAUGGAUGCAAGCUGGCUGCAUCAGUAAGACACAGUGACAGCUGUCGGGGAAUCUGACUCAUUUCUCUCUCGGUCCCCUUCCUCCUUGUCAUUUUAACAAAGGAGCCACUCCGCCCUUUCUCAGCCUCCCAGUCCUCUCCACUUCAUCCGCUCUUGUUUGAGAGCUUUGGCAAGUUGGCUCUUCCUCCUCCUUCCGUCUGAGUGUCGGUUUACCCCUGAUGAGUUCACCUCUGAAGGGACAAGAGGGAUGCAUUGUGACGUACAAAUGGACCAAAGGAAAGAAAAUAUUGUUUUCCUUUGGGACACUCUUUAUCGCGUCUGCUGUUCCCUGAUGUAGGUCUUUUGUACAGGAACUGUCUAUUAAGCUCCAGCUGUAGACCUGGCCCCCGUUCAAUGGCUUAUUGAUGCAGCAGCACUCCACAGCUCCUCCCUGUCAAUGUCUCUUCUGCUCCUCUCUGAUGUGGCUGCAAUCAAACCCAAGGGGCUGUUUGCCAUUCAGGGCUAUUUAAACUAAAGUGAGGAAGGCAUCCGAAACAUAACUCCUAUCUAUGUACUUCAACUUCUCCGACUGAGUGGAUUUCUCCGCAGCUGUAAUAUGACGUGGAUGCAAGUCAGAUAUGGAUUUAUGACCUCCUGGGGUUAUCAUUACUCUUCUCCCUCUCAAAACGUACAUUUCACAGUACCUACAGUACAUCCAAAUGAUGCAGACCAGUGGGCUAAGCAAUAAUGAAUGCCACAGGAGCAGAUCACAUGCUAAUGUGCUAUUGAUUGGCUUCUGUCCCGCACACAUCACUGAUAACAGAGCUUCCGACUCCUGUGAGGAGCAAGAAGGUCUGACAAUGCUUCUUGCAGUAAGGAGCUUUAUCACACAUCAGAGAUGUCCCCGUUGUCCAAUCAGAAGGAACGUGAGCAGGAAAACAGAUGUUUGAAGGAAUACACACUCGCGCCCCCCCUCAGUGUCAUCGUAGAUUGUCUAUGGGGACAGAAGGAAAGACAACAAAUGGAUCAUUCGAGAUCACAUGGGUUCCAGCUUUAAAAACACAAUGCCACCGUGAACUAGGUCAGGUCACAGACUCCGUGUACAUGAGAUCAGCUGCUCUCAUCACAAAUUGUAUUAAGGGAGGGAACUCUGGAAGUCUCUCCUGGUACUUUGAGUGGAAAUUAAACUUGGAGGGAAAACGCUCAAAGGGUCAGUAAGGGUCUUUGUGCCGAUUGAGUCAUUUCGUGACUAGUUGGUUAAUGGUUAUUACUCAGCAUUACAUUGUGAUCUGAGAAUCAUAACCAAAGAUGCUGGUUGUUGUUGCUGCUAUUUAAGCAAAAGAAAAUUCAUGUAAGUAAUAAAAUAAUAAGUAAGUAAUAAAGAUGGACAAACAAAAACUUCAAGCAGAGAGUGAGGCAUUACCGAUCAGACGACAAAUAUAUUCAAUGCAGUAAUAAUACAAGAGAUUAGGAUUAUUUCAAACAGUAGACACAAAAUCUGUGAAUGCACUUUGACAAAACCCCAAACUACUUCACUGGGUACUUCACCCAGUUGCAUUACUUAAUAGGUAAUUAGUUUUAUUUGACUCUUAACUCCACGGGUAGAUAAUGGAGAGAGGCCAACGUUGGAGUAAUGUGCUCCUGCUUUUCCUUUGUUAGCAGAUGAGCUGCAGUGUUUGAACCAGCUGAAGCUGCAAACAUACAAAGAAUUACUCUCUGAGCGUGAAGACACAAAAGCAUCGGAUUCAUUCAUCUGCACUUUAAAGAAGCUAAUGUGUUUCAUCCUGGAAUCAUUUCUUUACUGGAAAGAGCGUGAAGGAAGUUUGUUGAUUUGUGGAAAAUAGUCAUAAGAGUUCCGACGAGAAAUGAAAAGAAGCAUUUUGUCUGCAAGUCUAAUCUUUAUCACACCAGGAUUUCAGCAUUACACCAUUAGUAAAACAGUAAUAUGAUAAGCUGAGGGUUGCAAGUUGGAAAAAUGCUGCAAAUUUAAAGCGACAGACACAACAUAAACUAAAAACCCAGCUUUUGUAUUCACUUGGAGAAUGUAACCUGUCACAGAUCAUCCCUCUAAUCUGACUGCAUUUGCUCAUGUGGCUAAUUAUGUAACAGGUGAGAUAUGAAAACAAUGGCUGAAAUAUGGGACACAAUGAGGAGCACAUCAACACUUUUUCAAAUGGAGGCACACACAUAACAUUCAUUAUUUAUUGUUUAAUGUUUCCAAGAACAUCUGUGUGCUUCUAUUUUAUACAAUGACGCUUGUUUUUUGUUGGAGACGUGAAUGUAUCCAUUCUGGUUUUUCAAAUGUUGGAAUUUGGCUUUAUUCAGAAUAAAAGCUACUUUUCGUACAGAUACAAACCCUGUUGUGGAUAUUGGCGAUAGAAAGGUAAAAACAUGCUGCUUAGAUCCACUUGUCUAUUCUACACUUAACGGUUUAUUUUAAGGGAUGAAAGCUAAACUUGGAUCUGUAUCACACAUCUUCACCUGCUGCAACGACCCGCUGUUGCUUCAGGAGUCUGGCACAAUUGAUUUAGCUCCUGAAAGCACACAGGAAUGAUCUGAUAUGAUGCUUCUGUUAAAUGCUGUCAUUUUAAGAGCAUUGUCAGUAAUCUUCCAGUAUUGAAUCCUCUCAUUUUUAACUUGGCAUUCACAUAAUUCAGUAACUGGAACUAAUUUCUUCAACUAUGGCGAGUGUGCUUCAGAAAACGAACAAAUCAUAUCAAAUUGUUGUUCCAUUUUCUUGAAAUCAUGUAAAAGAAAAAGGUUAAUUCUCUUAAGGUUGAGUACUUAAUGCGGCCCUUUUGCUGCUCGUCUCUUCUCUGCCUUUCCUGGCUGUCUCUCUCACUGUGACACAAGUAUAUACCAAAUGAAACUGUAUUCCUUGACAAACAGUUAUAGAUUAAAAAAACGAUACUGAAGAUGAUGGUUGCUGCUUUCUUUUACUCAACUUCAAGUCUGUUUAACACUGUGACAUAAACAUGCUCAGUGUAUAUUUCUCUGAGAUAAAGACAUUAUUAUCAGUGGCACGUUUAUGUCAUUUUUAUAGAUUUAUUUUUCAUCUGUGAAGAUGUUGCGUCUUUCAGACAAGAGCUGAAAUUCUGCUGUUAUUUGCACUUAAACUGGUACGUCUUGUAUCAACUUAUUUAGUCUGUUCGUUCUGAGAAUCACACAAAAAACGGUUGACAGUGCUGUGAAUUGAUUGUCAAAGAAGUGCAGGAGGAACGACUACAGCGGUGAAUAUUUAUCACCGAAAAUAUCAACACAAUCAAGAAAACAAGAAUCUCACAAAGAAUGUGACUUUGAUGCAUUGUCAGCACGAUUUAAAUUGCAUCUGUCAAGGCUCUGAGCCAAUGGAACUAAAUCCCUAAUAAUUCAUCACACACACACGCGCACACACACGCACGCGCACACACACACGAGCACACGCGCACACACUUCGGGGUUUCUCCCACAGUUGGAAUGAAACUGAUGAAUUUCUGUUCACAGCGGGUUGUUGGGGAACAUUUCUGGGCUUCUUUGUUCACAC
Long non-coding RNA from Gasterosteus aculeatus aculeatus (three-spined stickleback), 21224 nucleotides. The record is from Ensembl. NCBI's taxonomy places the organism in Eukaryota, Metazoa, Chordata, Actinopteri, Perciformes, Gasterosteidae.